Molecule: long non-coding RNA, 900 nt
Filed under: Marmota monax (woodchuck)
Lineage: Eukaryota; Metazoa; Chordata; Mammalia; Rodentia; Sciuridae
Source: RNAcentral
UGAGUCUGGCUUUUCAGACCACUCUUUCCUUGAGUAGCAUGUGCUGAUUCUGAGAAAGGUUGGUAAGAAGCACAACAGAGCUUUCGAUGGACACUUAAGGCUAGAGAAGCAAAAACAAGUAUUUAAAGCCCACCAAGGUUAUGGGGUGGUUAGGUACUGGUAAACCCUUCAUGCUUAGGUUGGAACCCCAAAGUGCUACCCACAUGCUAGAAAUAAAUGCCAGCUUUGAACUAUCUCAGUCACAGAUUAUAGUUGAUCUAUGACUAAUACUUUCUGCUUAAUGAGGGAAAGAAACGUUACUUGUCCCUCAAGGUUGCUAGCCUCAAACACAAUUGUGAGAAAUGGCCCAGGCUAAAUAUUCAUCAGGACUUUGUAUUCUUGGCACAUCUCUUAAGAAUGUGCAUGGAUACUUGGGACCUUGGUGAAGGAUUACCUCUUCCACUAGUAAUAAAUGCCUCCAAAACUUAUUGUCAUAAAACAAUCACCUUUUUUUAUGCAUAUGACUCCAAGAAUCAGGAAUUCACUCAAAUCUAUCAGAUUUGACUUACCUUUGCUAGAUGACUUCUUGCUCUUUAAUUGGGAAUGGCUGGAAUGCCGAUGCUGGGUCCAUAUGCCUGGGGCCAUGGUUCUCUUCAUGUCAUAUCCUGGGGCUGGAACCUUCAGCAUGGUUUCUGCACUCUUAGGUCUGGUGUCAGCACUAGGAAGGCUGGAAUUGCUGGGGCUGACCAGCAUUUCUCUUUCCAUAAAUAGCAAUCUCAGGGUAGUUGGACUUCUUUUUUCCCAGUACUAGGGGUUGAACCCAGGGCCUCACAUACAAUAGGCAAGUGCUCUACCAGUGAGCUGCAGCCCCAGUCCUUGUUUAAAUUUUAUUUUGAGACAGGGUCUCACCAAGUUGGCCAG